RNAcentral lists this ribosomal RNA (253 nucleotides) under uncultured bacterium. RNAcentral's name for it is "partial 16S ribosomal RNA". It matches the Rfam family "Bacterial small subunit ribosomal RNA", at positions 524 to 776 of the family's 1533-position model. The record is from RNAcentral.
UACGUAGGGGGCAAGCGUUGUCCGGAAUCAUUGGGCGUAAAGCGCGUGUAGGCGGCUUCGUAAGUCCGUUGUGAAAGUCCAGGGCUCAACCCUGGAAUGCCGAUGGAUACUGCGGAGCUAGAGUCCGGAAGAGGCGAGUGGAAUUCCUGGUGUAGCGGUGAAAUGCGCAGAUAUCAGGGGGAACACCAAUGGCGAAGGCAGCUCGCUGGGACGGUACUGACGCUGAGACGCGAAAGCGUGGGGAGCAAACAGG